UAGCCGACUGUGGUGUACAACA
RNAcentral lists this non-coding RNA (22 nucleotides) under Arabidopsis thaliana (thale cress). The record is from RNAcentral. Lineage: Eukaryota; Viridiplantae; Streptophyta; Magnoliopsida; Brassicales; Brassicaceae.